CCUACGGGUGGCAGCAGUGAGGAAUAUUGGGCAAUGGCCGAGAGGCUGAACCAGCCAAGUCGCGUGAGGGAAGAAUGUCCUAUGGAUGGUAAACCUCUUUUGUCAGGGAGCAAAGUCACCAAAGUGUGGGUGUUGGAGAGUACCUGAAGAAAAAGCAUCGGCUAACUCCGUGCCAGCAGCCGCGGUAAUACGGAGGAUGCGAGCGUUUUCCGGAUUGAUUGGGUUAAAAGGGUGCGUAGGCGGGGUAUCAAGGCAGCGGUAAAGUCGGGGGGCUCACAUCCAUCCAGCCUUUGAAACUGGUGAUCUUGAGUGGACGAGAAGUAUGCGGAAUGCGUGGUGUAGCGGUGAAAUGCAUAGAUAUCACGCAGAACUCCGAUUGCGAAGGCAGCAUACCAGCGCCCGACUGACGCUGAAGCACGAAAGCGUGGGUAUCGAACAGGAUUAGAUACCCGGGUAGUC
This 459-nucleotide ribosomal RNA is filed under the name uncultured bacterium. Its description in RNAcentral is "partial 16S ribosomal RNA". It matches the Rfam family "Bacterial small subunit ribosomal RNA", at positions 338 to 795 of the family's 1533-position model. The record is from RNAcentral.